CAGCCGCCACGGUAAUACAGAGGGUGCAAGCGUUAAUCGGAAUUACUGGGCGUAAAGCGCGCGUAGGUGGUUUGUUAAGUUGGAUGUGAAAGCCCCGGGCUCAACCUGGGAACUGCAUCCAAAACUGGCAAGCUAGAGUACGGUAGAGGGUGGUGGAAUUUCCUGUGUAGCGGUGAAAUGCGUAGAUAUAGGAAGGAACACCAGUGGCGAAAGCGGCUCACUGGACCAUAACUGACGCUGAUGCACGAAAGCUAGGGGAGCAAACAGGAUUAGAUACCCCCGUAGUCCCUGUCUCUUAUAC
This 301-nucleotide ribosomal RNA is filed under the name uncultured bacterium. Its description in RNAcentral is "partial 16S ribosomal RNA". It matches the Rfam family "Bacterial small subunit ribosomal RNA", at positions 509 to 807 of the family's 1533-position model. The record is from RNAcentral.